This 253-nucleotide ribosomal RNA is filed under the name uncultured bacterium. Its description in RNAcentral is "partial 16S ribosomal RNA". It matches the Rfam family "Bacterial small subunit ribosomal RNA", at positions 524 to 776 of the family's 1533-position model. The record is from RNAcentral.
UACGGAGGGGGCAAGCGUUGUUCGGAAUUACUGGGCGUAAAGCGCACGUAGGCGGCUUUGUAAGUCAGGGGUGAAAUCCCGAGGCUCAACCUCGGAACUGCCUUUGAUACUGCAAAUCUCGAGUCCGGAAGAGGUGAGUGGAAUUCCUAGUGUAGAGGUGAAAUUCGUAGAUAUUAGGAAGAACACCAGUGGCGAAGGCGGCUCACUGGUCCGGUACUGACGCUGAGGUGCGAAAGCGUGGGGAGCAAACAGG